RNAcentral lists this non-coding RNA (158 nucleotides) under uncultured Alistipes sp. The record is from RNAcentral. Lineage: Bacteria; Pseudomonadati; Bacteroidota; Bacteroidia; Bacteroidales; Rikenellaceae.
GGCUUCCGACCGUCGGGAUCAAAAGGGAAUGCCGUGCGAAUCGGCAACAGUUCCCGCUGCUGUGAGUUACACCCUGCGUUCCGGCAUCUCGGCCACUGUCCCCGCACGGGAACGGGAAGGCGCCGGAACGGUAACGAGUCAGAAGACCUGCCUACGGC